UGAAUACGAGACGCUAAGGCGUUGAAGUAGUGUAUGUCAUACUUCCAAGAAAAGCUUGCACUGUCAUAGAUAAAAAACGCCUGUACCAUAACCGACACAGGUGGGUAGGUAGAGUAUACUAAGGGGCGCGAGAUAACUCUCUCUAAGGAACUCGGCAAAAUAACUCCGUAACUUCGGGAGAAGGAGUGCCUUAUUUAUAAGGCUGCAAUAACAAGAUCCAAGCAACUGUUUAUCAAAAACACAGGUCUCCGCUAAGUCGUAAGACGAUGUAUGGGGGCUGACGCCUGCCCAGUGCCAGAAGGUUAAAGAAGUUGGUUAGCAAUAGCGAAGCUGAUAACUGAAGCCCUGGUGAACGGCGGCCGUAACAAUAACGGUCCUAAGGUAGCGAAAUUCCUUGUCGGGUAAGUUCCGACCCGCACGAAAGGCGUAAUGAUUUGGAUACUGUCUCGGAGAGGGGCUCGGUGAAAUAGACUUGUCUGUGAAGAUGCGGACUACCUGCACCAGGACAGAAAGACCCUAUGAAGCUUUACUGUAACUUGAAAUUGAAAUUGGACUUUAUUCGCGCAGUAUAGGUGGGAGGCGUUGAUUGUAAUCUUGCGGGAUUAUUGGAGCCAUCAGUGAGAUACCACCCUUGUAAUGUUAGAUUUCUAACUUUGAAUCAUUAUCUGGUCAAAGAACAGUUUCAGGCGGGCAGUUUGACUGGGGCGGUCGCCUCCUAAACGGUAACGGAGGCGUACAAAGGUUUCCUCUGAACGGUUAGAAAUCGUAUCUAGAGUGUAAAGGCAUAAGGAAGCUUGACUGUGAGACCUACAAGUCGAGCAGGGACGAAAGUCGGUCUUAGUGAUCUGACGGUACUGAGUGGAAAGGCCGUCACUCAACGGAUAAAAGUUACUCUAAGGAUAACAGGCUGAUCUCCCCCAAGAGUUCACAUCGACGGGGAGGUUUGGCACCUCGAUGUCGGCUCAUCGCAUCCUGGGGCGGUAGUGCGUCCCAAGGGUUGGGCUGUUCGCCCAUGAAAGCGGUACGCGAGCUGGGUUCAGAACGUCGUGAGACAGUUCGGUCCAUAUCCGGUGUAGGCGUUAGAAUAUUGAGAGGAGCCUUCUUUAGUACGAGAGGACCGAGAAGGACAUACCUCUGGUGUACCAGUUAUCGUGCCAACGGUAAACGCUGGGUAGCUAUGUAUGGAGUGGAUAACCGCUGAAAGCAUCUAAGUGGGAAGCCCACCUCAAGAUAAGUAUUCUCC
RNAcentral lists this ribosomal RNA (1243 nucleotides) under metagenome. RNAcentral's name for it is "bacterial LSU rRNA". It matches the Rfam family "Bacterial large subunit ribosomal RNA", at positions 1564 to 2816 of the family's 2925-position model. The record is from RNAcentral.